Molecule: ribosomal RNA, 729 nt
Filed under: uncultured bacterium
Lineage: Bacteria
Description: bacterial SSU rRNA
Rfam family: Bacterial small subunit ribosomal RNA
Source: RNAcentral
AACAGGAUUAGAUACCCUGGUAGUCCACGCCGUAAACGAUGUCGACUAGCCGUUGGGCUCCUUGAGAGCUUUGUGGCGCAGUUAACGCGAUAAGUCGACCGCCUGGGGAGUACGGCCGCAAGGUUAAAACUCAAAUGAAUUGACGGGGGCCCGCACAAGCGGUGGAGCAUGUGGUUUAAUUCGAUGCAACGCGAAGAACCUUACCUACCCUUGACAUCGUGCGAACUUUCCAGAGAUGGAUUGGUGCCUUCGGGAACGCACAGACAGGUGCUGCAUGGCUGUCGUCAGCUCGUGUUGUGAAAUGUUGGGUUAAGUCCCGUAACGAGCGCAACCCUUGUCCUUAUUUGCCAGCGAGUCAUGUCGGGAACUCUAAGGAGACUGCCGGUGACAAACCGGAGGAAGGUGGGGACGACGUCAAGUCAUCAUGGCCCUUACGGGUAGGGCUACACACGUGCUACAAUGGCCGGUACAAAGGGUUGCGAAGCCGCGAGGUGGAGCUAAUCCCGAAAAGCUGGUCUCAGUCCGGAUCGGAGUCUGCAACUCAACUCCGUGAAGUCGGAAUCGCUAGUAAUCGUGAAUCAGAAUGUCACGGUGAAUACGUUCCCGGGCCUUGUACACACCGCCCGUCACACCAUGGGAGUGGACUGCACCAGAAGUGGUUAGCCUAACUUCGGAGGGCGAUCACCACGGUGUGGUUCAUGACUGGGGUGAAGUCGUAACAAGGUAACC